Molecule: ribosomal RNA, 588 nt
Filed under: uncultured archaeon
Lineage: Archaea
Description: bacterial SSU rRNA
Rfam family: Archaeal small subunit ribosomal RNA
Source: RNAcentral
GGGUUGUGAGAGCAAGAGCCCGGAGAUGGAACCUGAGACAAGGUUCCAGGCCCUACGGGGUGCAGCAGGCGCGAAACCUCCGCAAUGUGAGAAAUCGCGACGGGGGGAUCCCAAGUGCCAUUCUUAACGGGAUGGCUUUUCAUUAGUGUAAAGAGCUUUUGGAAUAAGAGCUGGGCAAGACCGGUGCCAGCCGCCGCGGUAACACCGGCAGCUCUAGUGGUAGCAAUUUUUAUUGGGCCUAAAGCGUCCGUAGCCGGUUUAAUAAGUCUCUGGUGAAAUCCUGUAGCUUAACUGUGGGAAUUGCUGGAGAUACUAUUAGACUUGAGACCGGGAGAGGUUGGAGGUACUCCCAGGGUAGAGGUGAAAUUCUGUAAUCCUGGGAGGACCGCCUGUUGCGAAGGCGUCUAACUGGAACGGUUCUGACGGUGAGGGACGAAAGUUAGGGGCGCGAACCGGAUUAGAUACCCGGGUAGUCCUAACUGUAAACGAUGCGGACUUGGUGUUGGGGUGGCUUUGAGCUGCUCCAGUGCCGAAGGGAAGCUGUUAAGUCCGCCGCCUGGGAAGUACGGUCGCAAGACUGAAACUUAA